RNAcentral lists this transfer RNA (87 nucleotides) under Escherichia coli. Its description in RNAcentral is "tRNA-Leu". It matches the Rfam family "tRNA". From Rfam's summary of the family: Transfer RNA (tRNA) molecules are approximately 80 nucleotides in length. Their secondary structure includes four short double-helical elements and three loops (D, anti-codon, and T loops). Further hydrogen bonds mediate the characteristic L-shaped molecular structure. tRNAs have two regions of fundamental functional importance: the anti-codon, which is responsible for specific mRNA codon recognition, and the 3' end, to which the tRNAs corresponding amino acid is attached (by aminoacyl-tRNA synthetases). tRNAs cope with the degeneracy of the genetic code in two manners: having more than one tRNA (with a specific anti-codon) for a particular amino acid; and 'wobble' base-pairing, i.e. permitting non-standard base-pairing at the 3rd anti-codon position. Lineage: Bacteria; Pseudomonadati; Pseudomonadota; Gammaproteobacteria; Enterobacterales; Enterobacteriaceae. The record is from RNAcentral. RNAcentral also lists the same sequence under 1 other name.
GCGAAGGUGGCGGAAUUGGUAGACGCGCUAGCUUCAGGUGUUAGUGUCCUUACGGACGUGGGCGUUCAAGUCCCCCCCCUCGCACCA